GUUUAAGCAGCCGCGGUAAGACAGAGGGUGCAAACGUUGUUCGGAAUUACUGGGCGUAAAGCGCGUGUAGGCUGCCCCGAAAGUCAGGUGUGAAAGCCCUGGGCUCAACCCAGGAAGUGCACUUGAAACUUCGGUGGCUUGAGUUCUGGAGAGGAUGGCGGAAUUCUCGGUGUAGAGGUGAAAUUCGUAGAUAUCGAGAGGAACACCGGUGGCGAAGGCGGCUAUCUGGACAGUGACUGACGCUGAGACGCGAAAGCGUGGGGAGCAAACAGGAUUAGAUACCCUUGUAGUCC
RNAcentral lists this ribosomal RNA (293 nucleotides) under uncultured bacterium. RNAcentral's name for it is "partial 16S ribosomal RNA". It matches the Rfam family "Bacterial small subunit ribosomal RNA", at positions 505 to 796 of the family's 1533-position model. The record is from RNAcentral.